AUGGUAAAACGAGGGUUUAGCUGUCUCCUUUUUCAUGUCAAUGAAAUUGAUCUACCCGUGCAAAAGCGGGUAUUAUCUUAUAAGACGAGAAGACCCUGUGAAGCUUUAGACAAUAAGACAGACCCGGCCUAAAACCACUAAUAAAGGACUAAGCUUUAAACCCCUGUCUCAGUGUCUUCGGUUGGGGCGACCACGGGGAGUUGCGUAACCCCCGCGUGGACUGGGAACAAGAGUGUUUUUGUUCCUAAAGAUAAGAGCCUCCGUUCUAAUAAACAGAAUUUCUGACCUUACAAGAUCCGGCAAUGCCGAUCAACGAACCAAGUUACUCCAGGGAUAACAGCGCCAUCCUCUUUCAGAGCCCUUAUCGACAAGGGGGUUUACGACCUCGAUGUUGGAUCAGGACAUCCUAAUGGUGUAGCCGCUAUUAAGGGUUCGUUUGUUCAACGAUUAAUAGUCCUACGUGAUCU
Molecule: ribosomal RNA, 467 nt
Filed under: Johnius trewavasae
Lineage: Eukaryota; Metazoa; Chordata; Actinopteri; Sciaenidae
Description: partial large subunit ribosomal RNA
Rfam family: Bacterial large subunit ribosomal RNA
Source: RNAcentral